GGGGCUGUAGCUCAGUGGUAGAGUGCUUGCCUCGCAAGUGUGAACACUGAGUUCCAUCCUCAGCACCA
RNAcentral lists this transfer RNA (68 nucleotides) under Ictidomys tridecemlineatus (thirteen-lined ground squirrel). RNAcentral's name for it is "Spermophilus tridecemlineatus (thirteen-lined ground squirrel) tRNA". It matches the Rfam family "tRNA". From Rfam's summary of the family: Transfer RNA (tRNA) molecules are approximately 80 nucleotides in length. Their secondary structure includes four short double-helical elements and three loops (D, anti-codon, and T loops). Further hydrogen bonds mediate the characteristic L-shaped molecular structure. tRNAs have two regions of fundamental functional importance: the anti-codon, which is responsible for specific mRNA codon recognition, and the 3' end, to which the tRNAs corresponding amino acid is attached (by aminoacyl-tRNA synthetases). tRNAs cope with the degeneracy of the genetic code in two manners: having more than one tRNA (with a specific anti-codon) for a particular amino acid; and 'wobble' base-pairing, i.e. permitting non-standard base-pairing at the 3rd anti-codon position. Lineage: Eukaryota; Metazoa; Chordata; Mammalia; Rodentia; Sciuridae. The record is from Rfam by way of RNAcentral.